RNAcentral lists this long non-coding RNA (1742 nucleotides) under Oryza brachyantha (malo sina). Its description in RNAcentral is "long non-coding RNA (OBRA_LNC000181)". Lineage: Eukaryota; Viridiplantae; Streptophyta; Magnoliopsida; Poales; Poaceae. The record is from RNAcentral.
UAACGUAAACGGAGGGAAUAGUCAACAUAUAGUGGGCUAAUAGACCCAACUACAAACCAUGGGCUAACAUAUUCGAUUACAAUUCACUUUUAUAAUAAUUACAUAAAUAAAAAUGUUGUAAAUUUAUAAUAAAAUUCAUGUACUUAUAUAUUAUAUAAAUUAUUUCAACCAAUAGUGGGCUAACGAAUCCUAUUACAAUUCACCUUAAAUAAAAUUGUUGUAAAUUUCUAAUACAAUUUAUGUAAUUACAAAUUAUAUGAAUUAUUUUUUUAUAUGUUGAUCAAUUAUACUAAUAUUGCAUAACCCACAAUUAAUAGAUACAUGGACUGCGGAGCCCAAAAUAAAAUCCAGUAAAUCUUCUCAGAAGGUCACAUAUUUGAUUGAAAAUAUAGUAAAAAAUCUGUCACAUAACAGUUAGAAAAUCCGAUAUAAUAUAUUGACAAAAAGAUUAACUCUGAUGUUUAUCUCUUUAUCUCUUCAUAUAUGUAUUUGAUGUAGAGAGUUCACCCCAUUUCUUUUUUUUUGUUCACUCCCUCCUUUGUAUCAGCUUAUAGACAUCUGCUAGUAUUAUACAGCAGCAGCAGAAGCCAUAUAUAUUACACGGUGAAUUAAUCAAUCACAAGGCGGCCGUAAAGCUGCUGGCCGUCGGCCGGCGGCGGCACCCGGCCACGGCGUAGCUCCUGGCGCACGUGCUGAGGCACACCGCCAUCACCUUGCUGUCCGGGUCGAUCUGGCUGCACAUGGACAGCGCGCACGCGUGCUCGCAGUCACCGGGAAAGCGGCCGGCGCCGGCGCCGGCGCCGGCGCCGGAGAAGCAGCUGUGGUAGCACGAGAACUGGCAGAACCAGUACUCCUCGCGGGGCACGCACUGGUCAAAGCACGCGUGGAAGCAGGGCGGCCUGAUGAUGAUGCCCGCCGCCGCCUCGGCACCGCCGGCGGCCGCGGUCACCACCACGGCUGCCGCCUCGGCCGCCAGCAGCAGCAACGCCAGAGGCAGUGCCCUCNNNNNNNNNNNNNNNNNNNNNNNNNNNCCGGCGCCGGCGCCGGCGCCGGCGCCGGAGAAGCAGCUGUGGUAGCACGAGAACUGGCAGAACCAGUACUCCUCGCGGGGCACGCACUGGUCAAAGCACGCGUGGAAGCAGGGCGGCCUGAUGAUGAUGCCCGCCGCCGCCUCGUCACCGCCGGCGGCCGCGGUCACCACCACGGCUGCCGCCUCGGCCGCCAGCAGCAGCAACGCCAGUGGCAGUACCUUCGCCGAGGCGCCUCCAGCGAUGGUCGCCAUUGCCACGAGGAAUGGGGAGGAGGUAGGCCGGCGCGCAUGGAUGUGACGCAGCUGCGCGCCAUGGGAGUUAUGGAAGCUGAGGCGUGCGGGCGUGUAGGUCAUGGUUUCGGUGUGACGCUGACCGCCUCACGCUUCUCUCUAGUCCGGUUCGGUGUCAGGAUCAUUGGGUAAGUGGGCCAAACGGCCCAAACAAGGGCCUGGUAAGCACAUUAAAACUAGGGCAAUGGAGCGAGGUGGUGGGGAGCAUUUAUUUAUUUUUUUUGCCACGACUACGUCUUACAUAUUUAACAUUUAAUGUGUCUGACAUAUUGAUUAAAUACUAAAUCUAAAGGUGAUAAAAUUAUUAAAUAUCCUCAAUACGGGUAGCCAAGGCUAUACGUAAAGCUCAUACACGACCCGAUAAAACGCAAAGAAACUAAGACAUUGUCAUUUGAGAACCGAGGUAUAAGAUCAUAUGCUU